Molecule: long non-coding RNA, 3040 nt
Organism: Amphiprion ocellaris (clown anemonefish)
Lineage: Eukaryota; Metazoa; Chordata; Actinopteri; Pomacentridae
Exons: 4
Source: RefSeq, a predicted model, not a curated record
CUCAUAUAGAAAUAACACUGCGAAUAGUACAGUUGUAAAAAGAUUAAAAAAUAAUAACGUGUCAGUCGAGUACCUGAAGCUCAAAUAUCAGCAGCAACAUUGACACAGAUAGGUAAUAAGAAGUGGAAUUAUCCCAGAUUCAUCACGAAUACCAAAAUUUCGAGAGAACGGGAAGGUAGCACAUAUCCGUGAGACAAAAAGGUGAUAAUGGACGCAACACGUUUUCAUAAACGAUUUCAUUAAAAAAAAUAGUACAAACGUAUGAUAUCAGCGUAGAAAUAUAUUUGAAUAUAAAGCAAAAUCAUCCCCAAAGUAUCAGGGUGUUCAUUGUGGGUCCGUGUACGGAUCUGGUAAUUGGAUUUUCCGUUCUGAAACGGUAUUGAAAAACAAAAAACGAGUGGUUAUUUGAUUUUCGUUUUAAAAUACAAAAAUUAAAAUUGAAAUACAAGGCUAUUUUCCUUUUCAUGAUCAAAAAGGGAUGUUCGUUUUUUUUAAAUGCUUUGAUUUUCGUUUUAUAUUUAGAAUAACAAGAAAGUAAAAUCAGUAAGAGACAGAAACGAAAAAAAGGUCCGUUUUAUCAUUUUCUGAGACCGGAAGUUGUCAUCAGCAAGUGUGGAGCCAAACGACAACAAGAUUCUCAGAGGGCGGAGCCAGAGAGCAGUGAUUGGUCAGACCAUAGAUAAUAUAGAAGACAGCGCGCUAGCGUAUCUAGUCUAUGUAUAUCUAUGGUCGGCACGUCUGGUAGCAUCUUUGGCUGCUGUUGAUCUUGUUUUUGGAGUAAAACACGGUGGAAGCUGAAUUAGUGAGGAUGACUCCUGCUCCUGUCAUCUCUAAGCUCCUCACACAUCUUUACCUGCACGAGGAAAAUCACUUCUGUAGAAUGCAGAUGUUCAGAGGGAGAUGAUGCCACAUCUGGUCCAGCCGAUGGAAGGUCUUGAAGUUCUCUGACUGGCCUCGACUGAAGAUGGUCGUCUCACUGGAUUUAAGGUUCAGAUGCUCAGUAACAAACUCCACCAAUGUGCCAACAGGGAAGCUUUAGGUUUAUUAAAUGUUGCUAUGAAGGUGUCGCUGUUUUUCUUUGUGAAUGCAAUGAGCUCCAACUGAAACUUGAAUUAGAGCUUAGAAGUAAAUCCUUCCAUCUGAAAGGAUUUAGUUGCAUUAAUAACCUCAUAACAUUCUAAUUUUUAUUCCAGUCUUGGUUGAAAAUAGAAUCUCUGUAUUGAUUCAGGUAAAAACUGAACUUCACAGCAUGUUGGAGCAAAACAACCAGAUGAAAACUGUGAUGGUGUUGGAUUGUCAGACUGUAAUGUUGCAGCUCAAAGCAGCUUUUCUGUCUCAGUUCAUUCUGACAUUCAGCUAUGAAUCAACACAGCAGAUGGUGAUCCAUGCUGUGGAAGUCUCACAUCUCCUGAUUUAACGGAGCUGCUUUGCACUUUUUACACUGUUUAUUCACCAACACUUUAUUUAAUAAAAGUCCCAUCUAGUUUUUAUGAGGAAUGUGAUGUUUGAAUUUCUGUGAAUAACUGCAGUCUAAUGCAACAGCUGGAGUUGUAACAUCUGUCCUGAUAUUGAUCAUGAAGUAUUGAUCAGAAUACUUAUGGUCAGCAGUCAUCCCUGAAGUUUUACAUUAAAAUCUUUACUUGUGUUGUGAACUUUGGUAAGAAGCAGAAACUUUAGCGUUGCCAUGGAUACAUGAGUGUUAAAUUUUGUCCAUGUUUCCAUUUUUGGAAAUUCAGUCCAGCAGAUGAGUUUGUUUUUACUGCCAGCUACCAUUAAGUCUGAGAUAUUAAGAAUAAAUAAAUAUGCAUAAUGUGGAAAUUAACAGAUUUUAUUUUUAUUUAUUCCUACAAGUGCUGCAGGGUAUAUUCUAGAAUGUGGAGGAAUUUAGUCUCACAAUCACAGACAAUAAACAUUAUCUUAAAGUCUGGUUAUUGUUGUUUAUCAGCACAAUACAAAAGGAUUGAUGUUAGAAAUAUUCCAGUUGAGACUCCAGAAUAUCAUGAUUUAUGUAAAUAUACCUCAGUAACAUGAAUGUUCAGGUUAAGAUUGUGCAGUGAUUUUAUGUAAGUUUAGCUGAUUAAAGUUUAUGACUCUGCACUAAAAUAUUAUUUAAAUUUACAUCAUUAUUAUAAUAUUUAGGGUCAGACCCUACAGUAUUGAGAUUAAGAAAUCAAAUAUUCUAUAAAAUGUAAAUACACUGAACUCAUUUGGAUAUAUUUAAGUGAGACUCUACAAUAUUAUUUGACACAAAUCUAUCUAAAUCAAAAUUUUAAUAAUUUUCAUGCCAAACAUUUACUGGACUGAUUUCAAUAUUAAAUUCACUCCUUUCUAAUCCUCUGCUGUACGUUCAAACCUGAGGCCUUAAAUAGAAACACAUAAGUAUCUGUUUGAAGGAACUUCUGCAGAGUCCUGGUUCCAGAACAUGAUGAUAGAAUUAUAGACAAACUUUUACAAAAGCUGCCUGAGAGUUUACAGGUUUUUAUGUUGGAUUUCUUCAGUAAUUUAAUGAGAGUUAUCAGCAAAAAUCAAGUGUUCAUUUGAUGAACUUCAUUUCCUAAAACAUCCAGAAUUUGAGCUCAUAUCUUUGGCAGCUGUAAAGUUUCUGCUCCUUCAAAGUUCACAACAAUGAAUGAAUUCCUAAAACACUCUCAAUGCUGGAGAGCGUUUGUGAUGCUGAACCAGUGAGCAGUUUUUCUGUUUCUUCACAAUGCACAAUGAGGGACGUCUGCAGGGACUGAGAAAGAGUCUCACCACAUCCUGACAUGAGGAAAAGACUUUAUUGAAGACUACAGUGAGAAAAACUAUCAGGCAGCAGACGGCAUGCAUUCAAGUUGCUGAAUUCAUGGAUGAAUCAUCUGGCACUAGAGAGGAAGACCAUCAAACAUCCACGUCAGCUGAUGGAGGUCCAAGAGUCUCACCGAACAACCAACCUACAGAGUGAAGACCUUGAAUCUGAUUGGACGGCCUCCUAUUCAGCCACGUGUGAACAAAUGCCUCGAAGCUGAUUUGUUUUCUAAAAUAAAUCUAGUUUGAGUCCUAA